ACGGGAGGCAGCAGUGGGGAAUAUUGCACAAUGGGGGAAACCCUGAUGCAGCGACGCCGCGUGAACGAUGAAGUAUCUCGGUAUGUAAAGCUCUAUCAGCAGGGAAGAAAAAAGACGGUACCUGACUAAGAAGCACCGGCUAAAUACGUGCCAGCAGCCGCGGUAAUACGUAUGGUGCAAGCGUUAUCCGGAUUUACUGGGUGUAAAGGGAGCGCAGGCGGUCUUGCAAGCCAGAGGUGAAAACCCGGGGCUCAACCCCGCGGAUUGCCUUUGGAACUGUAGGACUUGAGUACUGGAGGGGCAGGCGGAAUUCCUGGUGUAGCGGUGAAAUGCGUAGAUAUCAGGAGGAACACCGGUGGCGAAGGCGGCCUGCUGGACAGAAACUGACGCUGAGGCUCGAAAGCGUGGGGAGCAAACAGGAUUAGAUACCCUGGUA
RNAcentral lists this ribosomal RNA (436 nucleotides) under uncultured Lachnospiraceae bacterium. Its description in RNAcentral is "bacterial SSU rRNA". It matches the Rfam family "Bacterial small subunit ribosomal RNA", at positions 341 to 792 of the family's 1533-position model. The record is from RNAcentral. Lineage: Bacteria; Bacillati; Bacillota; Clostridia; Lachnospirales; Lachnospiraceae.